Molecule: ribosomal RNA, 429 nt
Filed under: Gemmatimonadota bacterium
Lineage: Bacteria; Pseudomonadati; Gemmatimonadota
Description: Gemmatimonadetes bacterium partial 16S ribosomal RNA
Rfam family: Bacterial small subunit ribosomal RNA
Source: RNAcentral
UAGGGAAUCUUCGGCAAUGGACGAAAGUCUGACCGAGCAACGCCGCGUGAGUGAAGAAGGUCUUCUGAUCGUAAAACUCUGUUGUUAGAGAAGAACAAGGACGUUAGUAACUGAACGUCCCCUGACGGUAUCUAACCAGAAAGCCACGGCUAACUACGUGCCAGCAGCCGCGGUAAUACGUAGGUGGCAAGCGUUGUCCGGAUUUAUUGGGCGUAAAGCGAGCGCAGGCGGUUUCUUAAGUCUGAUGUGAAAGCCCCCGGCUCACCCGGGGAGGGUCAUUGGAAACUGGGAGACUUGAGUGCAGAAGAGGAGAGUGGAAUUCCAUGUGUAGCGGGGAAAUGCGUAGAUAUAUGAAGGAACACCAGUGGCGGAGGCGGCUCUCAGGUCUGUAACUGACGCUGAGGCUAGAAAGCGUGGGGAGCAAACAGG